UGGGGAAUAUUGGACAAUGGGCGCAAGCCUGAUCCAGCAAUGCCGCGUGGGUGAAGAAGGUCUUCGGAUCGUAAAGCCCUUUCGACAGGGACGAUGAUGACGGUACCUGUAGAAGAAGCCCCGGCUAACUUCGUGCCAGCAGCCGCGGUAAUACGAAGGGGGCUAGCGUUACUCGGAAUUACUGGGCGUAAAGGGCGCGUAGGCGGCUCUGUUAGUCAGGCGUGAAAUUCCUGGGCUUAACCUGGGGACUGCGCUUGAUACUGCAGGGCUUGAGGCCGAGAGAGGGUGGUGGAAUUCCCAGUGUAGAGGUGAAAUUCGUAGAUAUUGGGAAGAACACCGGUGGCGAAGGCGACCACCUGGCUCGGUACUGACGCUGAGGCGCGACAGCGUGGGGAGCAAA
This 400-nucleotide ribosomal RNA is filed under the name uncultured bacterium. Its description in RNAcentral is "bacterial SSU rRNA". It matches the Rfam family "Bacterial small subunit ribosomal RNA", at positions 355 to 772 of the family's 1533-position model. The record is from RNAcentral.